This 539-nucleotide ribosomal RNA is filed under the name Mucilaginibacter sp. Its description in RNAcentral is "bacterial SSU rRNA". It matches the Rfam family "Bacterial small subunit ribosomal RNA", at positions 202 to 743 of the family's 1533-position model. Lineage: Bacteria; Pseudomonadati; Bacteroidota; Sphingobacteriia; Sphingobacteriales; Sphingobacteriaceae. The record is from RNAcentral.
AAAUAUUUAUAGGACAAAGAUGGGCAUGCGGAACAUUAGCUAGUUGGUAAGGUAACGGCUUACCAAGGCAACGAUGUUUAGGGGAUCUGAGAGGAUGACCCCCCACACUGGUACUGAGACACGGACCAGACUCCUACGGGAGGCAGCAGUAAGGAAUAUUGGUCAAUGGGCGGAAGCCUGAACCAGCCAUGCCGCGUGCAGGAAGACGGCCCUACGGGUUGUAAACUGCUUUUGUACGGGAAUAAACCCACCUACGUGUAGGUGGCUGAAUGUACUGUAAGAAUAAGGAUCGGCUAACUCCGUGCCAGCAGCCGCGGUAAUACGGAGGAUCCAAGCGUUAUCCGGAUUUAUUGGGUUUAAAGGGUGCGUAGGCGGUUUAUUAAGUCAGGGGUGAAAGACGGCAGCUUAACUGUCGCAGUGCCUUUGAUACUGAUGAACUUGAAUGUACUAGAAGUAGGCGGAAUGUGACAAGUAGCGGUGAAAUGCAUAGAUAUGUCACAGAACACCGAUUGCGAAGGCAGCUUACUAUGGUAUUAUGA